AUGUCAGUUUCAGAUACAAACCUUCAUAAUGGAGAAAAGCCCAUCUCUGAAACUACCGAUGCGGAACUCGCCGAAAAGCAUGGUCAUAUGAAGUUAGUAUGCUCACAGACAAGGUUCGGAAAAACCAUGAAACUGUUGUCACAAGACCACAAAAAGUACAUCAUAUCAGAAACCAGUCUUGGCGGUCUAACCCAGAUGCAUGAAGUGACUCUACGGCGCAUAAUGUUGGUUAGACUAGCCAAGAGCAUAGAUAUGGACACGAAAUCCAUUACCAUCGGUAAAACGCCAAUUCAUAUAACAAAAGAGGACGUGCAAGGUAUAUUUGGCAUUCCGAUAGAAGGGGAGGAUAUAGAGCCACAUCUGGAAAAUCAAACCGACACAGAAUUGUUUACCGCCUAUGCAAACAAUGGGCAAAUUUUGAUUUCUGACCUUGAAACGGCGAUCCGAGCUUCCAAAGCCCUAGACGGCGAUUUCCUGAGACGGUUCAUUCUGUACGCAAUUGGUACUGUUCUAGCACCAACAGCACAACAUUAUGUGGACUCGAAAUUUCUCAACCUUGUUCCAGAUCUUGAAAACCUUCAGAAAUUUAACUGGGCAUGUUUCACACUUAAUCACUUCUUCAAGUCUGUUCACAAGUUUAGAAAUCGAGAUCACGUAAAUCUACAAGGAAAUCUAAUUCUGCUCUAG
This 687-nucleotide ribosomal RNA is filed under the name Triticum aestivum (bread wheat). RNAcentral's name for it is "partial small subunit ribosomal RNA". The record is from RNAcentral. Lineage: Eukaryota; Viridiplantae; Streptophyta; Magnoliopsida; Poales; Poaceae.